GACGAACGCUGGAGGCGUGCUUAACACAUGCAAGUCGAACGAUGAAAUGGAGCUUGCUCCAUGGAUUAGUGGCGAACGGGUGAGUAACACGUGAAUAACCUGCCCUUAAUUUUGGAAUAACCCAGGGAAACCUGGGCUAAUACCGGAUAAGUAAACCUGUGGCAUCACAUGGUUUUGGAAAGUUUUUCGAUUAAGGAUGGAUUCGCGGCCUAUCAGCUUGUUGGUGGGGUAAUGGCUCACCAAGGCGACGACGGGUAGCCGGCCUGAGAGGGUGAACGGCCACACUGGGACUGAGACACGGCCCAGACUCCUACGGGAGGCAGCAGUGGGGAAUAUUGCGCAAUGGACGAAAGUCUGACGCAGCGACGCCCCGUGAGGGACGAAGGUCUUCGGAUUGUAAACCUCUUUCAGCAGGGACGAAGCGAAAGUGACGGUACCUGCAGAAGAAGCACCGGCUAACUAUGUGCCAGCCGCCGCAGUAA
This 482-nucleotide ribosomal RNA is filed under the name uncultured bacterium. Its description in RNAcentral is "partial 16S ribosomal RNA". It matches the Rfam family "Bacterial small subunit ribosomal RNA", at positions 28 to 523 of the family's 1533-position model. The record is from RNAcentral.